AAGGGUUCAUUGUUUACAUGGCAGAGUAUCGUCGCAGGUAUCCAAACUUUCAAAUGAGGGUGCAUUUGGCGUGUUGGUUUGGGAUCACAUAUUAACAUUUGGGAUGAUCCCUGGAUUCCUGCUAGCGAGUCAAGGAAAAUUAUUACCCCACGAGGAACAAUGUUGUCCAAAGUGGAGGAAUUAAUCGAUCUGCAUACGGGUGAGUGGGAUGGUGAACUCCUACGUGACAUAUUUCUACCCGUUGAUGUGUACAGAAUACAACAAAUCCCCUUACACAUUGAAGCAGUAGAAGAUUUUGUAUCAUGGCAAUUUACUAGGUCAGGUACUUUCUCGGUACGCUCGGCCUACCAUGUGGAGUUCAAUCACCAGUUCGGAAACCACUUUGCUCAUUCAGACUGUCCCGGAAGGUCCCAAAUCAACCCAACUUGGAAGGACUUAUGGCAAUUGGGAAUCCCGGGGAAGAUAAAGCACAUCGGAUGGAAGGUGCUUAAGGGCGUUUUACCUUGCUUUGGAGUUCUUGCGGGUAGACACAUACCCCUGGUUCCACAAUGCCCGCUGUGCAAAGUUGGCCUGGAGGACAUACAACAUUGUAUGUUCACAUGCACGAGGGCUAACAAGGUAUGGUCUGCGCUCAAUCUUGGAGAAACUAUCAGGCAUACGGUA
This 663-nucleotide ribosomal RNA is filed under the name Triticum aestivum (bread wheat). RNAcentral's name for it is "partial small subunit ribosomal RNA". Lineage: Eukaryota; Viridiplantae; Streptophyta; Magnoliopsida; Poales; Poaceae. The record is from RNAcentral.